UCAGGAGUGAACGCUAGCUACAGGCUUAACACAUGCAAGUCGAGGGGCAGCAGGAUUUGUGCUGCACAGAUUGCUGGCGACCGGCGCACGGGUGAGUAACGCGUAUCCAACCUUCCCCAUAGUAGAGGAUAGCCCGGCGAAAGUCGGAUUAAUACUCUAUGUUGUACAACGAGGACAUCUGAAUUGUACCAAAGAUUCAUCGCUAUGGGAUGGGGAUGCGUCUGAUUAGGUAGUCGGCGGGGUAACGGCCCACCGAGCCUACGAUCAGUAGGGGUUCUGAGAGGAAGGUCCCCCACAUUGGUACUGAGACACGGACCAAACUCCUACGGGAGGCAGCAGUGAGGAAUAUUGGUCAAUGGGCGCGAGCCUGAACCAGCCAAGUAGCGUGCAGGAAUGACUGCCCUAUGGGUUGUAAACUGCUUUUAUCAGGGAAUAAAGUGAGGCACGUGUGCCUUUUUGUAUGUACCUGAUGAAUAAGGACCGGCUAAUUCCGUGCCAGCAGCGGC
RNAcentral lists this ribosomal RNA (506 nucleotides) under uncultured bacterium. Its description in RNAcentral is "bacterial SSU rRNA". It matches the Rfam family "Bacterial small subunit ribosomal RNA", at positions 27 to 518 of the family's 1533-position model. The record is from RNAcentral.